AUGGAAAUCCAUAAAUGCAUUGUUAGAGGAUGCGCCAAUCAAUCGGACGCAAUUAUUCAUUACAGUUUACCAGAGGAACCCCAGAGACGCCAACGGUGGCUACAGUUUAUCAAUGGAAGCAACCCGGGAGAGCAAAUUCCAGAUGUUUCCCGUUUAUGUGGCGACCACUUUGCUGAAGAGUGCUUCACAGAACUUGAUCUCGGUUUCACCACGAGGUUAAUAUUAAAUCUUGACGCAAUCCCAUCGAUUUAUUCCUCUGAUAAAACAUCGGCUUAUCGGAAACACACCGUGUACACUGAGAGGGCGAAGGGGACUGGGAUGGUGGAAGGCAAAAUGGCCGGCAUCAAGGAGGAGCCAGUGGACAGGGAGUUGGAUUCGCAGGUGAAUCGCUGGAACAAUUUGUUGGGUUCACUCAGCAAGUCGUUUAGUUCAAUCAAAAAGGAAGAUGUUGGGGAGGAUGAGAGCAGUGCAGAGAGCUAUGACCAGAUUAGAGUGGUGAAAAUAGGAGACUCGCACACAGGAGAGAGGAAGGAUGAUGGAGGAGAGUAUGGGAUGGAAUACUCACACACUCACCCAUAUGAAGGAGAGGAUGGAGGCUAUGAUGCCAUGGUAACAGACCUUCACAGGAAAGAGAAAAUGAAUGUGACGGCGCGUGAGGUGGAGGGAGUGUUUGUGAUAGAAAACUCAAACCCAGAGGAGGAAUGUAGAGAAUAUGUGGUAGGGGAGGAGGUAUGGCAGAUGGAGGAAAGGGGAGAGAGCAGGACGGUAGAGAUGUGGGGGGAAAAGGGGAAACGGAGAAAGCUUCCGGGGCCGCAAUGGUGGAGAUAUGAGCAAGAGAGGAGGAAAACCCAGGAAGACGAAUGGAAGAUGAUUGCAGAGAGGGCGAGGGAGGAAGAGAGGGAGAGACAGAAAGGUCGGACUGUGGAGGGGAAAAAGAGGGUGGCAGGGUUCCGCUGCCCACAGUGCUGCAAAACCUUCCAGUACCGAAGCGAGUUACUGGAGCAUAAAACUAGCUGCUGCACUAAUGCGAAAUACGCCUGCCCAGUGCCACUCUGCCCCCAAAUCUACCAAUCCAAGGCUUCCCUGACGAAUCACGUUUGCUUCCACCAUGUGAAGGAGGACAACAAGGAGGAAAAGGACUUGGAUGCUAUCCGGAAAGCCAGAGGAGUCGGGGAGCAUCAGAAUAAAUACCAACCCAGCCAUAAGAAAUUCUUCUGCCCACUCUGCAAAACAUACUACAGAAACCAGAUAGUCCUCGACAAGCACUCUCGUAGUCACACCAGUCUCCACAAAGUGAUGUUGUGCUGCUCCUUCUGCUCUGUGGAGAUGCUGAAUAAAUGCACAAUGAAAAAGCACUACAACACGGAACACCCAGGCAGGGUCCCGCGCUGUGAGAUGUGUGAAAGAAACUUCUCCUCGAUCGACAUCUUUCUAACACAUCAGUUUAGACACGUGGCCGUGACUCCUUACUACUGCUAUGAGUGUCACAUCUACCAGCUCACCCAGAGGGGCCUCACUGUCCACCUGAAAAACCACGCUCUCAGACGCAACCAGAAGCAGCUAGACCAGCAGUCUGGGAAAAUCAACAAACCUGACAAUACAGGGAAUCAUAGUACAGCCCCUCUGAAGAAAAGUCCCUCCCCUCUACCAAACAACCAUGCACAUCUACAAGAUAACCACGCCCAUCUACAAGAGAUCAAAGAAGAAUUUAUGACCAAAUAA
Oncorhynchus mykiss (rainbow trout) is the source of this 1722-nucleotide long non-coding RNA. Lineage: Eukaryota; Metazoa; Chordata; Actinopteri; Salmoniformes; Salmonidae. The record is from Ensembl.